GCCGGGCAUGGUGGCUCACGCCUGUAAUCCCAGCACUUUGGGAGGCCGAGGUGGGUGGAUCACCUGAGGUCAGGAGUUCGAGACCAGCCUGGCCAACAUGGUGAAACCCCAUCUCUA
This 117-nucleotide non-coding RNA is filed under the name Chlorocebus sabaeus (green monkey). Lineage: Eukaryota; Metazoa; Chordata; Mammalia; Primates; Cercopithecidae. The record is from Rfam by way of RNAcentral.